RNAcentral lists this ribosomal RNA (406 nucleotides) under uncultured bacterium. Its description in RNAcentral is "partial 16S ribosomal RNA". It matches the Rfam family "Bacterial small subunit ribosomal RNA", at positions 30 to 526 of the family's 1533-position model. The record is from RNAcentral.
AUUGAACGCUGGCGGCAGGCCUAACACAUGCAAGUCGAACGAGAGGCGGACGGGUGAGUAAUGUCUGGGCAACUGCCUGAUGGAUGGGGUUAACUACUGGAAACGGUAGCUGAUACCGCAUACCAUCAGAUGUGCCCAGGUGGGAUUAGCUAGUGGGGGGGGUAAAGGCGCACCAAGGCCACGAUCCCUAGCUGGUGUGAGAGGAUGACCAGCCACACUGGAACUGAGACACGGUCCAGACUCCUACGGGAGGCAGCAGUGGGGAAUAGUGCACAAUGGGCGCAAGCCUGAUGCAGCCAUGCCGUGUGUAUGAAGAAGGCCUUCGGGUUGUAAAGUACUUUCAGCGGGGAGGCGUUACCCGCAGAAGAAGCACCGGCUAACUCCGUGCCAGCAGCCGCGGUAAUAC